Long non-coding RNA from Sycon ciliatum, 962 nucleotides. RefSeq lists it as uncharacterized. The record is from RefSeq and is a predicted model, not a curated record. The transcript has 3 exons. Lineage: Eukaryota; Metazoa; Porifera; Calcarea; Leucosolenida; Sycettidae.
UAGCGUCGUCUCCACCGAACCAGUUGUCAGUGGCAACAUAUAGGAAUCGUGUACAUUUCUUCGUUUCUUCUUUGCUGUUUUCAGUGAGUGUUUUGUUUUCUCUUUGUCCUUGAUCUCGACGGCGUUGUCGUGCUCAUUACCUUACUGAGACGUCUCUUGUGACUGUAGCCAGUGUCACGAAGGAUUUUAUUGGCGUGACGAGGUAGAUCGCCGAGAUCGAGCGUGAAAAACGCUCUGCAUUAGUAGCUCCUGUAGAAUGUCUUCUGGGAUGGCGUAUCCAUGGUCAACAAAGCCAAGGUGCAAGACAGCAUGAGAGAUCGUGUAAACGAUGUGAACUCCAAAAGAUAAUCUGGACAAAAUUAUAUUGUAACUGGAGAGUGCAAUCAUGCUUGGGACCCAUCCCAAUGUCAUCACAUGGCUGUGGUGACUAGUGUAUACCUGGGAGAGUUUUUCCUCAACUGAGACGGAGUGUAGGUGGAUGGAUUAUGAGAAAUGCGAAGAUGUGGAGUUCAAGGCUAGAUGCACUUCACAUUCGGCGUGGGAUCUCGGCGUCUGGGACCUGAUAACAUCUUGGUUGGAUGGGUAAUCAAGGAUGAUACUACUCGGCACACCAAUGUACAUGUCAAUGUAGUUUUUACUUUUUCAGAGCUGCACUAUUUACGUCCUGAUGCUUACUUCGGUGCUAGUGUUGUGUCCGUGUGUUGCUACAAUGUCAUUAUCUGUAUUGUAUUCCGUCUGCUUAUACAUGUGUCUUUAUGAAGUGUUUGCCGUGGCGGCGAUGUGUCUUGUCGAUCAAUAGUGUUGUGAAACCUAUCACUAUUCAUGCUUUGCUGGCUACUCGCUCGCUCCGCGCCGCGCACGCUACUAGGUCUUGUAGUAUAUAGCUCGAUGCUUUGCAUCGAUCGCUGGUUGUUCUUGUUGCUUCUCUGUUGUUUGAGCUUGGUCCUAGAGUGAAGCUUUGA